RNAcentral lists this ribosomal RNA (595 nucleotides) under Testudinalia testudinalis (plant limpet). Its description in RNAcentral is "SSU rRNA". It matches the Rfam family "Eukaryotic small subunit ribosomal RNA". The record is from RNAcentral. Lineage: Eukaryota; Metazoa; Mollusca; Gastropoda; Lottiidae.
GAUUUGUCUGGUURAUUCCGCUAACGGGCGAGGCCUCGCCCUUAACUAGUCGGCUCGUGGUUCUCGAAUCGUAGUCUCCCUUCGGGGAGCAGGGAGAACAUCGGGCGAGUCGCAGCGAUUGUCGCUACUUCUUAGGGGGAUCCCGAGCAAGCUUAAGCUAGGUGAGAGAGAUCAAUAACAGGUCAGUGAUGCCCUUAGAUGUCCGGGGCCGCACGCGCGCUACACUGAAGACGAAAGCGCGAGUGCCUACGGUCUUGGUUUGGUCAGGCCGGGAACCCGCCCCGAGAGGGGAGGUUGGGGCUGUUCCUUCACGGGGGCAGUCUCGCCUACUGCGGGUUAACCGUGCCAAUCGUCUUCGUGCUGGGGAUCGGGGCUUGCAACUCAGCCCCGUGAACGAGGAAUUCCGAGUAGGCGUCCGUCAUCAGCUGGCGCCGAUUAAGUCCCUGCCUUUUGUACACACCGCCCGUCGCUACCUCCGAUAGAAUGGCUAAGCGAGGCCGUUAGACUGGGCCUGCUUUCGAGUGGGCCCGGAAAGGCGUUCGAGCUUAAUCAUUUAGAGGAAGUAAAAGUCGUAACAAGGUUUCCGUAGGUGAAA